Long non-coding RNA from Oryza brachyantha (malo sina), 547 nucleotides. RefSeq lists it as uncharacterized. NCBI's taxonomy places the organism in Eukaryota, Viridiplantae, Streptophyta, Magnoliopsida, Poales, Poaceae. The record is from RefSeq and is a predicted model, not a curated record. The transcript is spliced from 3 exons.
GAUCCCCACCUCCGACCUUCUGGCUCCAAUCCACGCGAGGUGGCGGCGUGUGGCAAGGGAUGCAGGGACGCGAGGAGACGGCGCGGCUGGCGACGCCAGGACGCGAGGAGAUGGCGCGGCUGCUCACCGACAUCGACGCCGACGGCGACCUCCGCUGCAUUCUCGCCGGCAAAGAAGCCCUGGCAAUGUUUGAGAAGGCUUGCCAUUGCUUCGAUGAUCGCAAUGUGUGGACAAGUUCAGUGAUCGUCUGAUGGCAGCAUUGUGAUAUGGUUGUAAUGGUUGUGAUCUUCAAAAGAACUUACGCAACUUAAUUUUUAAAGUGAUCAAAACAAGGUUGUAAUGGUUUUUGAAAGACCUGGUUAUGUCUAUCAGCUCGUGAUAUGUUGUGGUGUCCUUUCUUUCUUUUUGCAAUCAUCCGGAUCAUCAUACAGAUGAAGGGCUUCAGCAUUUAUUCAUUAUUUAUAAAUGAACAGAAAACUUAUGAUAUGCUGAAUGGCCUGUGAUAUGUUGAAUUUUUCUAUACAGCAAGUUUUCUUUUUGUAAUCUG